Molecule: ribosomal RNA, 460 nt
Filed under: uncultured Methylomirabilota bacterium
Lineage: Bacteria; Methylomirabilota (SeqCode)
Description: bacterial SSU rRNA
Rfam family: Bacterial small subunit ribosomal RNA
Source: RNAcentral
GGGCUUGACAUCCCACGAACCUGCCCGAAAAGGUGGGGUGCCCGCAAGGGAGCGUGGAGACGGGUGGUGCAUGGCUGUCGUCAGCUCGUGUCGUGAGAUGUUGGGUUAAGUCCCGCAACGAGCGCAACCCUCACCCCUAGUUGCCACCGGGUUAAGCCGAGCACUCAAGGGGAACUGCCAGCGUCAAGCUGGAGGAAGGCGGGGAUGACGUCAAGUCAUCAUGCCCCUUACGCCCUGGGCUACACACGUGCUACAAUGGCCAGCACAAAGGGACGCGAGACUGCGAAGUGGAGCUAAUCCCAAAAAGCUGGUCUAAGUUCAGAUUGCGGUCUGCAACUCGACUGCACGAAGGAGGAAUCGCUAGUAAUCGCGCAUCAGCCCGGCGCGGUGAAUACGUUCCCGGGCCUUGUACACACCGCCCGUCACACCACGAAAGCUGUCUGUACUCGAAGUCGCUGAG